This is a long non-coding RNA of Oryza sativa Japonica Group (Japanese rice), 600 nucleotides long. RefSeq lists it as uncharacterized. The record is from RefSeq and is a predicted model, not a curated record. NCBI's taxonomy places the organism in Eukaryota, Viridiplantae, Streptophyta, Magnoliopsida, Poales, Poaceae.
AAACUGUCACAGCUCCAAGGCAAUCCUUCUAGCAAAAAGUUUUCCUUUAUUUUUCAAUCAAUCGAUUGAGUUUUUUUUUUCUCAAGGAGAUCCCAGCUGCAAGAGGAACAAGAUGCCCGCCCAGGCAACGGGAAGUAGUAAGCGCGUGCCUUCUGUAGGUGGGGGCAAAGAACGUGAAGUGUUGAAGAUAGAUUCGGAAACUAAAUCUAACCAGCCGCCGACCAAGAAAGCUUCGAGUAAACCUGCUCCGAAGAAGAACGAUAAAGUUCAGGGUGGAGGCAAGGGAAAAAAGUAAUUAAUUAAGAGCUUAUACAAGAGAGAAGGUCACAAAGCCACAAUGAAGUAGAAUAUCAGGAUUGUCUACUGCAUUUACAUUAAUUUGUCUGUAACUGGUGUAUCCAUUUCGGAGCAUAUAGUAUGUAAUUUACUAGUAGUCAAGGUCACCACAGUAUUUUAUUUUUUUAUUUUUAUUGCAUUUUGGUCUGUAUAUAAUACAUUGGUUAAUAUAUGUUCAUUCCAUAUCAGUCCAGUUAAUGGGAAAUAAUGUAGAGCACAUAUUAUUGUUGAUAUAUAUUGAACCUUCGGAGUGUUGGAUUCUUA